Molecule: transfer RNA, 71 nt
Filed under: Stegodyphus mimosarum
Lineage: Eukaryota; Metazoa; Arthropoda; Arachnida; Araneae; Eresidae
Rfam family: tRNA
About the family: Transfer RNA (tRNA) molecules are approximately 80 nucleotides in length.
Source: Rfam by way of RNAcentral
GCCUUCGUGGUGUAACGGUAGUACAUUCGGCGUGUAUUCAAAAGGUCCAGGUUCGAGUCCCGGCGAAGUCA